Molecule: long non-coding RNA, 3158 nt
Organism: Columba livia (rock pigeon)
Lineage: Eukaryota; Metazoa; Chordata; Aves; Columbiformes; Columbidae
Exons: 2
Source: RefSeq, a predicted model, not a curated record
GGGCUGGGGCCGGGCGGGCGGCGGAGCGGCCGGGUGAGCGCUGCCGGCGGCGGCCGCGGGGGGAUUUUUCCGCGGAGUGGAUGCGGGCUUUUUUUACUAUUUUUUACCAUUUGCCUGCCGGGGGGGAGUUUUUUAAAGCAAGCGGUCCGGGCGCUGCUCUGCCACCCUCCGCAGGGGGUCUAGGUGGGAGAGCGGGGCUCGCAGCCCCCCCCCGCAAAUCCAGCGCGGGGUGAUGCUCAGUGUGGGUCUGCGGGAGCGAAGCACAAAAGCUCUGUCUGAAGGAGAAGGCAGCACAGAGCGGACACGGUCCAAAGUAGCUGGGAGUCCGGUGCUGCCCUACAGCAGAAAUAACGCCCCGAUGGUCUGGUGUCCGGGCGGCAAUGGCAGAGAGAAGGCCGUUGUUGGUACAGGCAGAAGCUGUUUUGGACACCUGAAGAGGAACUGCCAAAAUUGUUUGCCUUGCCCACUGGAGUUACAUGCCACAGAAAUGACUUGCAGCUGGUGUUCGUGCUUUGAAGCCGUGUCAGAAGUGGCACGUUCUGCUCCUCCGUGGAAGUUUAUGAGAGCGGGCUGAGAUUUCUGACAUAGCUCAAGGUGUGGUAAUGCUUGGGGAAGAUUACAGACCUGCAUUUUAAAUCCUGACUCAGGUGUUUUCAAUGACAUGUUUUGAAUGUCUCAAGACACACAAAGGGGCCUGUUCAUUGCACUGAGUGGCAUAAGUAUCUGCCCUCGAAAAAUCCGGCCUCUUUUAAGUUUAAAUAGAUCUAUCAUGUUUUUAAUUGCUCAGAAAGUAGAAGAGCAAGUCUAGGGAGUAAAGCAGGAUGAGGAGGAAAGGCUUGGGAACCAUCGCGAGAGCUGCACGCACCUUUACAGAGCCUGUUUGCUGUUCGCCAAUGCCAAGUGCAUCUACCAGCACCUCUCAGCACAGGGUGUAAAUGGAGCUUUCAGCAAUUUUGGUGCCCUUUGGUACAGGAUAGUCACACAGAAAUUGGGCUUCGUGCCUCUGCACACCCGAAAGGGGUGCAACCGCAACCUGGAGUGCUGCUUUCCUUUCAUAAAACCCGUAUUCUAAAGUUAAAGAGCGUGGAAGCACUUGCAAACGCAGCAUCUCAUCCACACCACAUUCUGCGCUCAUCUCCCUCUCCCAGUUGUUUUAUGGGCUUUGCUCACACCAAACCCUGUAAGAUCUGUGAAAAAUUACAUCCUCGUUGCCUUUCCUCAAGUCCCAUAAGCAUCUCCAUGAAAAGAGCCCCUUCCCAAAGUACUGCUUGAAAUUCUCAUGUCAGCGUCUCCCCUGCAGCCAGCGGUGAGCUGAACCCUUGGAAUACCGUGGAGAUUUUGGUGGCCACAGCUGGGAUGCGCAGGGGUGCAGCCAGACACUCCUCUCGAGUGGUGCUGGAGCAGCUGAAAGCUCGUCAGCUGCCCUGCGCUGCUCCCGGAGUGACGGUGACAUCCAGCAGCAGAGCUGUGUUCCCAGCAUCGGGGUUUUUAGUCCUUUCCUCUGCAAAGUCCGUUGGAUUAUCUCAAGUUGUGCUGGAGGCUGCUAGAGCCGACAUUGCCGAUAUUGCACGGGAACAAAUUAUGGGAGACUCGGUGGCUCUGUUCUGGCAACUCGGACAUCUUACUCAUCAUUUUGCCAGGGAUUACUAGAUAAAUAAACUAAUUGGUGAGGUUGUCUCAUUGUCUUGACUUUUCCAUGGGUGUUUUGAUCUGGAAGCAACACAAGGAGGGUGCUUGGCUGCUCUUGGGCAGGGAUGAGUGAGUGGUGGAGCGAUGCUGAGAUGCCUCAAUAGGACAUAAUUUCAUCAUCAAGUCAACUUUACUGAAAUUUUGAAGCAAGUUUUUAAUAUGUACUUUUAAAGCAAGUGGAAAAAAAAACCACAGCAGCAUAGGCGCAAACAGAUGCCCAGAAAACAUCCGCAUGGUGGUUUCAGGCCUUGUGGGCAGUAAAGCAGUUGGACACUUGGAAUCCAGGGACUAUAUAGCAUGAAGAGAUUUGCUGCUGGCUGCAAGCUCAUGGGAGAGAGUGGGAUUUUUCAGGAGUAUUUAAAUGCCCCAGGAGGAGACAUCUGUCCAACAGUGACAUCCUGGAGUGGGCGCCUGGAGAGUCUGCGCCUUCCCUUUGGGCAGGGCCGGCUCACGCCACCAAGCUCCCCUGGUCCCACCUCUGCUGUGGGGCUCAGAACAGGCUCAGGCUCCAUCACCAGCACAGGGGGAAGGAUUACUGGCAGUUUUUGAGCUUCCCCGCUUUUCUUGCCAUUUUGUAGUGUUUGUCCUGUAUAUUUCCUCUGCAGUGGUGUGUACAAAGUCCUAUUUGAUGAUGCCCUGUCGCUUUAGGCACAUUGUCCCUGUAGUUAUUUCCAUGCCAGUGUACAGAAGCAAACCAAGUUAUCUUUUUUCCCCUUGACCAUAUCUACUCUCUAAGUAAGUGUUUGCAAAGAAGUUAUCUACAAAACCAACCUUGAAACAACAGGGAUGGCUGAGCUGCAGCAAGAGAGGAGGCAGCAGACGACAGCGCACGUCCCUUCCAGUUUCCCCUGCAACGCCACAUUUCCCUAUUGCAGUACCUGUCCCAUUUGGGGCCUGUUUUUGUUGGCACAAACAAAACACACAGACAAACCAGCACCCGUCAGCCCAUGGCUAUCCUAAGGGAACUCCACAGUAAAUGCACAAAAGUGGUAGUUCAAACGCUGUAACAAAAUGCCCAAAUAAACCCAAACCCAGAGGAAUAGUGAGAUGUGCCGUUUGAAGCAGCGCAUUGAAGGAUGUAAACACCAUUUUUAAUUUAAAAAGGUUAAAGUCACAAAAGGUGACUGGUUUAAAAGGGCCUUUCAUGUAGCAAAUUAGUUUAAAGAAUUAGUUAAAGAACUAAUUUUAUAGUCACAACUCUUAUGCAUUUUGCGUUUAUCAGUCCAUAUAUAUACCUUCUCACUUAAACACUUCUGCCCAGCCUUAUAUUUUGGCACGCAGUCUAAUGCCAUGCACCACAUCAACAUGAAGAAGUUAAUUCAUUGUGUAUCAGUGUCAUACUGACAUUAAAAUUUUGCAUUUAUUGUGAGUCACCAAAAUCUGCACAGGAUACACAGACAAAACCUGAGCUUUGACCAUCCUAUCAAGUCUCAAUAAAAAAUUAUCAGUUUUGCUUACAAGAUUUUAAA